AUUCAAUGAUGGGGACUUUCUAGGAUGUAGUCUUGGAAGCGCUCCCAUGCUUCUAGAAUAGAUUCAUCAUGUUUUUGUUUAAAACUUGUAAUUUUCCCACGGAGAGC
Sorghum bicolor (sorghum) is the source of this 107-nucleotide small nucleolar RNA. It matches the Rfam family "Plant small nucleolar RNA R71". Rfam says of the family: R71 is a member of the C/D box family of snoRNAs containing the C (UGAUGA) and D (CUGA) box motifs. Multiple nearly identical copies of this snoRNA have been identified in Arabidopsis, and it is thought to function as a 2'-O-ribose methylation guide for 18S ribosomal RNA. The record is from Rfam. NCBI's taxonomy places the organism in Eukaryota, Viridiplantae, Streptophyta, Magnoliopsida, Poales, Poaceae.